ACAUAACUGAUGCCUCCGCGUAUCGACUUUGUGCGCAUUUUAGCUAUUAUGUGUUCUUUUAAUUAAAAUGAUUCUUUUUAAGAUUCAUCUAUUAAAAAUUUGCUUCGGCAUAAUUUUUUUUGAUGAUCUUGUUACUUUGAGUAAAUUAGAGUGUUCAAAGCAAACAGAUAUAGCAUCUGUGCGUUUGAAUACUACAGCAUGGAAUAACAAAAUUGAACAAGUCAGAAUUUUUUUGUUCUUUUUUCUUACUUUGGCUUAGUUACGAUUAAUAGGAGUAGCUUGGGGGCAUUUGUAUUCAGAUGUCAGAGGUGAAAUUCUUAGAUUUUCUGGAGACAAACAACUGCGAAAGCAUUUGCCUAAAAUACUUCCAUUAAUCAAGAACGAAAGUUAAGGGAGUGAAGACGAUCAGAUACCGUCGUAAUCUUAACCAUAAACUAUGCCGACUAGGCUUUGGAUGAAAGAUUUUAAAAUAAGAGUUUUUCUUUUCUCUCCGGAGAUUAGAACUCUUAGAUUGCUUCCUUCAGUGCCUUAUGAGAAAUCAAAGUCUUUGGGUUCUGGGGCGAGUAUUCGCGCAAGCGAGAAAGUUAAAAGAAUUGACGGAAGGGCACCACCAGGCGUGGAGCUUGCGGCUUAAUUUGACUCAACACGGGAAAACUCACUAGUUUAAGACAAGAGUAGGAUUGACAGAUUAAUAGCUCUUUCUUGAUUUCUUGGAUGGUGAUGCAUGGCCGUUUUUAGUUCGUGAAUAUGAUUUGUCUGGUUAAUUCCGAUAACGAACGAGAUCUUAACCUGCUAAUUAGCGGCAAAUACGAUAUAUUCUUAUGUAGAAUUGAAUAUAGUGGAUUUGUUGGAUUUUGAAGAAAAUAUUGGAAUUACGUUAAAUGUGAUUCCUUUCCCUUUUCUACUUAAUUUACAUUUCCAUCUAUUUCUUUUUUGCGUAUGAAUGUAUUUGCUUGAUUGUAAAGCUUCUUAGAGGAACGAUGUGUG
RNAcentral lists this ribosomal RNA (987 nucleotides) under Plasmodium knowlesi. RNAcentral describes it as "SSU rRNA". It matches the Rfam family "Eukaryotic small subunit ribosomal RNA", at positions 638 to 1428 of the family's 1831-position model. The record is from RNAcentral. Lineage: Eukaryota; Apicomplexa; Aconoidasida; Haemosporida; Plasmodiidae.